RNAcentral lists this ribosomal RNA (424 nucleotides) under uncultured prokaryote. RNAcentral describes it as "bacterial SSU rRNA". It matches the Rfam family "Bacterial small subunit ribosomal RNA", at positions 355 to 796 of the family's 1533-position model. The record is from RNAcentral.
UGGGGAAUAUUGCACAAUGGGCGCAAGCCUGAUGCAGCCAUGCCGCGUGAAUGAUGAAGGCCUUAGGGUUGUAAAAUUCUUUCGCCAGGGAUGAUAAUGACAGUACCUGGUAAAGAAGCCCCGGCUAACUUCGUGCCAGCAGCCGCGGUAAUACGAAGGGGGCUAGCGUUGUUCGGAAUUACUGGGCGUAAAGCGCACGUAGGCGGACUUUUAAGUCAGAUGUGAAAUCCCGAGGCUCAACCUCGGAACUGCAUUUGAAACUGGGAGUCUAGAGAUCAGGAGAGGUUAGCGGAAUACCGAGUGUAGAGGUGAAAUUCGUAGAUAUUCGGUGGAACACCAGUGGCGAAGGCGGCUAACUGGACUGAUACUGACGCUGAGGUGCGAAAGUGUGGGGAGCAAACAGGAUUAGAUACCCCCGUAGUCC